This 449-nucleotide ribosomal RNA is filed under the name uncultured bacterium. Its description in RNAcentral is "partial 16S ribosomal RNA". It matches the Rfam family "Bacterial small subunit ribosomal RNA", at positions 338 to 795 of the family's 1533-position model. The record is from RNAcentral.
GCUACGGGAGGCUGCAGUGGGGAAUUUUGGACAAUGGGCGCAAGCCUGAUCCAGCCAUGCCGCGUGCAGGAUGAAGGCCCUCGGGUUGUAAACUGCUUUUGUACGGAACGAAAAGCCUCUCUCGAAUAAAGAGGGGUGAUGACGGUACCGUAAGAAUAAGCACCGGCUAACUACGUGCCAGCAGCCGCGGUAAUACGUAGGGUGCGAGCGUUAGUCGGACUUGCUGAGCGUAAAGCGUACGCCAGUGGUGAAAUCCCCGGGCUCAACCUGGGAACGGCCAUUGUGACUGCAAGGCUGGAGUACGGCAGAGGGGGAUGGAAUUCCGCGUGUAGCAGUGAAAUGCGUAGAUAUGCGGAGGAACACCGAUGGCGAAGGCAGUCCCCUGGGCCUGUACUGACGCUCAUGCACGAAAGCGUGGGGAGCAAACAGGAUUAGAUACCCCAGUAGUC